GCGCCCAUAGUUCAGUGGAUAGAAUAUUUGAUUGCGGUUCAAAUGGUCGAAGGUUCGAUUCCUUCUGGGCGUACCA
Molecule: transfer RNA, 76 nt
Filed under: Mycoplasmataceae bacterium CE_OT135
Lineage: Bacteria; Bacillati; Mycoplasmatota; Mollicutes; Mycoplasmatales; Mycoplasmataceae
Description: tRNA-Arg
Rfam family: tRNA
About the family: Transfer RNA (tRNA) molecules are approximately 80 nucleotides in length. Their secondary structure includes four short double-helical elements and three loops (D, anti-codon, and T loops).
Source: RNAcentral